Molecule: long non-coding RNA, 2311 nt
Organism: Zeugodacus cucurbitae (melon fly)
Lineage: Eukaryota; Metazoa; Arthropoda; Insecta; Diptera; Tephritidae
Exons: 3
Source: RefSeq, a predicted model, not a curated record
CAUAAUAUUAUAUUAUAUAUGAACAUACAUAUAUAAAGUCUAGAAGAAGUACUUAACCAUAUUUUUACUUCUAAUACUAGUUCAUAUUACUGUCAAGGUAAGAGGUCAUAACUUCGUCGUAGAUAAUUUCGUAUACCCGGGAACCAGUAUCAACAACACCAACAAUGUCAGCCUCGAAAUCCAGCUCAGAAUCACUCUUGCCAACAGGUGCUACUAUGGACUGAGUAGGCAAAUGAAAAGUAAAGUCCUCUCUCGGCGAACCAAAAUCAAACUCUACAAGUCGCUUAUCAUUCCCGUCCUGCUUUAUGGUGCAGAAGCUUGGACGAUGUCAACAUCAGAUGAGACGACACUAGGAGUUUUCGAGAGGAAAAUUGUGCGCAAGAUUUAUGGUCCUCAGAACAUUGGCAACGGCGAAUACCGCAGACGAUGGAGAGCGACCUGGUUACACUUGGGAUCUCCAACUGGCGUCGAACUGCGAAGGAAAGAGAGGAGUGGCGCGCUCUCAUCGAUUCGGCUAUAACCGGCUAAACGGUUCAACCCCAAUCACAAGAGUUCACUUAAUUUCCUUGAGAUUUCUCCCAUGUUAACCGAUAUUUUCGAUAUAAAGUCCUUAAAUUUCGGUAGGAAAGCCCUCAACGAAAGUCAAAUGAAAGUUAUAGUCCGAUUUCGACAUCUUUUAAAUGAGAGUUGCUCAUAGAAAGCACUAUUUGCGCUUAGUGUUAUUCCAAAAAAUUCAUUGAUGUCUUCUAUUUAUGAUGAACUUAAGUACUUGACUUGGCCAUACGCAUCCCUAUAUUUCAUACCCAUUUCUUAUGCGUUUUCAUAUGGAAUAAAAUUACGAAUUCAUUCCAAUUUAAGUUCAGUGUAAAUAAAAUAAUAAAAUAUAAACGUAAACAAUGAAAAAUGUUGAAAUACUUACAAAGUUUACUAUUACAGGGUCAACCAGGGACUAAAUUUGGUACGAUCGGAAAACAAAAAGUACCAGUAAUUUUGUAUCACUCAUUUUUUAUUGACACAUCAUUCAUAUGAUACGUGCCAUUUAGCUGCUGUCUGGACAUACGUGGUGUGUUCAAAAAAUAACGGGAAUUGUAAAAUUUCACGGGUUUGUAUUGAGAGUAAUUUAAAUUUUUUAUGUUGAAUUUUCAGUUGAAUGCUACCGCUAAGAUUAUACGUGUUUUUAUGAGCUUGACGAUAUCGGCUCCUUGGGACUUUUUCCUAUUUCCAAAAAUAAAGAGAACCUAUAAAGAGCAAACAUAUGAGCCAAAGGCUAUUCCAAAAAUCGAGUUUGAGAAGUGUUUCGAAUGGAAUGGGUACUAUUUUAAAGGCGACAACGUAGACGUAAUGUAGACGAAUGACAAAUCAUUUUUUCAAACACUGGAAUUAUUGUUAUUUUUCGAACCCACUUCGUAUGGAUACAUAUAAUGAAGAAAGGCAUACCAAGCCCAAGCACCCCACCAAAGAUGCCGUAACUCAAGUAGACUUAAGACUUGAAACUCGCAUUUAGUCCGUUGAUAUUCUAAUCCAGCAAUAGUAACAAAUGUGAGUCAAUAAAAAUGCGUAGAAAAGUAGUAUAAUCCAAAUGUAGACUAUCCAAAAAUGACUAUUUCAAUUUCGAAUUUAAAUUUUAAUUCACUUAUUUUGUAUUUCUCGAAAUUGUUGAGUUUUUUACGAUUCUAUUUAAUGGCAUUUAGUUAUUGACAACUUUGUUGCAAUGCAAAACCGAAUAGAAGUGAUCUAUCUCUAUCACCUGCUGGAGUGUACGUAUGUAUUUUGCAAAUAAAUGAAUAAGUAAAGUCCAUAAAUAAAUUGCAAUUUAGCAUUUUUCUCGCUACUGUAUUCCGCAUAGCGCAGACAACACCUUAUAUAACUAACUUACAACUUCAGAUAAACAAUAAAAAAAAAAAAAAUAUUUUACUUGAAUAAAAGUAUGAGUAAAAGGCAUUGAAGUCCUCAAGGGAAUUUCACUCAACUGAAUAAUGCUAGCAGAAAAAAGCAGAGCUACACUUUUAAUAAUCAUUCGAAACCUUAUUCAAACCAAAUAUGGUGAUGUCACAUUGUCACGUCCUAAAUAUGUUUGUCCUUGUGCUGUGGUGGGCACACCGAGUUAUGCGUUGCAAUGACGUCACCGCCCUACGAGAAGAAAUCGCCAUUCGCUGCGACAGAUACAUACAUAUUGCCGCAGCAGUUCAUGAGGAUUUGUACUAUGUUUGUAUGUGCUACACAUACAAAUGGAAAAAAUUAUACAAAAUACUUUGCAACGUUCAGGUGAUUGCGGUGGCUAAGGCCAUGAUAAUGUGAUCAAUAUUGUUAC